This 494-nucleotide ribosomal RNA is filed under the name uncultured bacterium. RNAcentral's name for it is "partial 16S ribosomal RNA". It matches the Rfam family "Bacterial small subunit ribosomal RNA", at positions 28 to 506 of the family's 1533-position model. The record is from RNAcentral.
GACGAACGCUGGCGGCGUGCCUAAUACAUGCAAGUAGAACGCUGAAGGAGGAGCUUGCUUCUCUGGAUGAGUUGCGAACGGGUGAGUAACGCGUAGGUAACCUGCCUGGUAGCGGGGGAUAACUAUUGGAAACGAUAGCUAAUACCGCAUAAUAGUAGAUGUUGCAUGACAUUUGCUUAAAAGGUGCAAUUGCAUCACUACCAGAUGGACCUGCGUUGUAUUAGCUAGUUGGUGGGGUAACGGCUCACCAAGGCGACGAUACAUAGCCGACCUGAGAGGGUGAUCGGCCACACUGGGACUGAGACACGGCCCAGACUCCUACGGGAGGCAGCAGUAGGGAAUCUUCGGCAAUGGACGGAAGUCUGACCGAGCAACGCCGCGUGAGUGAAGAAGGUUUUCGGAUCGUAAAGCUCUGUUGUAAGAGAAGAACGAGUGUGAGAGUGGAAAGUGCACACUGUGACGGUAUCUUACCAGAAAGGGACGGCGAACUACGU